Molecule: ribosomal RNA, 253 nt
Filed under: uncultured bacterium
Lineage: Bacteria
Description: partial 16S ribosomal RNA
Rfam family: Bacterial small subunit ribosomal RNA
Source: RNAcentral
UACGAAGGGGGCGAGCGUUGUUCGGAUUUACUGGGCGUAAAGGGCGCGCAGGCGGCUCAUUUUGUCAGGCGUGAAAGCCCCGGGCUUAACCUGGGAACUGCGUUUGAUACGGAUGGGCUAGAGUUCGGGAGAGGAGAGUGGAAUUCCCAGUGUAGAGGUGAAAUUCGUAGAUAUUGGGAAGAACACCGGUGGCGAAGGCGGCUCACUGGCCCGAUACUGACGCUGAGGUGCGAAAGCGUGGGGAGCAAACAGG